ACUCCUACGGGAGGCAGCAGUGGGAAUAUUGCACAAUGGGGGAAACCCUGAUGCAGCCAUGCCGCGUGUGUGAAGAAGGCCUUCGGGUUGUAAAGCACUUUCAGUAGGGAGGAAGGUAGUGUAGUUAACACCUGCAUCUUAAUUGACUGUACCUACAGAAGAAGCACCGGCUAACUCCGUGCCAGCAGCCGCGGUAAUACGGAGGGUGCGAGCGUUAAUCGGAAUUACUGGGCGUAAAGCGCAUGCAGGCGGCUUGUUAAGUCAGAUGUGAAAGCCCGGGGCUU
Molecule: ribosomal RNA, 284 nt
Filed under: uncultured bacterium
Lineage: Bacteria
Description: partial 16S ribosomal RNA
Rfam family: Bacterial small subunit ribosomal RNA
Source: RNAcentral